AGUGAACGCUGGCGGUAGGCCUAACACAUGCAAGUCGAACGGCAGCACAGUAAGAGCUUGCUCUUACGGGUGGCGAGUGGCGGACGGGUGAGGAAUACAUCGGAAUCUACUUUUUCUUGGGGGAUAACGUAGGGAAACUUACGCUAAUACCGCAUACGACCUACGGGUGAAAGCAGGGGAUCUUCGGACCUUGCGCGAUUGAAUGAGCCGAUGUCGGAUUAGCUAGUUGGCGGGGUAAAGGCUCACCAAGGCGACGAUCCGUAGCUGGUCUGAGAGGAUGAUCAGCCACACUGGAACUGAGACACGGUCCAGACUCCUACGGGAGGCAGCAGUGGGGAAUAUUGGACAAUGGGCGCAAGCCUGAUCCAGCCAUACCGCGUGGGUGAAGAAGGCCUUCGGGUUGUAAAGCCCUUUUGUUGGGAAAGAAAAGCAGCAGGUUAAUACCCCGCUGUUCUGACGGUACCCAAAGAAUAAGCACCGGCUAACUUCGUG
This 492-nucleotide ribosomal RNA is filed under the name uncultured bacterium. RNAcentral's name for it is "partial 16S ribosomal RNA". It matches the Rfam family "Bacterial small subunit ribosomal RNA", at positions 29 to 507 of the family's 1533-position model. The record is from RNAcentral.